Molecule: transfer RNA, 105 nt
Filed under: Euroglyphus maynei
Lineage: Eukaryota; Metazoa; Arthropoda; Arachnida; Sarcoptiformes; Pyroglyphidae
Rfam family: tRNA
About the family: Transfer RNA (tRNA) molecules are approximately 80 nucleotides in length. Their secondary structure includes four short double-helical elements and three loops (D, anti-codon, and T loops). Further hydrogen bonds mediate the characteristic L-shaped molecular structure. tRNAs have two regions of fundamental functional importance: the anti-codon, which is responsible for specific mRNA codon recognition, and the 3' end, to which the tRNAs corresponding amino acid is attached (by aminoacyl-tRNA synthetases). tRNAs cope with the degeneracy of the genetic code in two manners: having more than one tRNA (with a specific anti-codon) for a particular amino acid; and 'wobble' base-pairing, i.e. permitting non-standard base-pairing at the 3rd anti-codon position.
Source: Rfam by way of RNAcentral
GCCGAUGUAUUUCAAUUGGCUAGAAUGUCCGGCUUUUAAUAAUUCUUUAAAAAUCGGUAAAAAUUAGAUACCGGAAGGUUCUGGGUUCGAGUCCCAGCAUCGGCG